RNAcentral lists this ribosomal RNA (250 nucleotides) under uncultured bacterium. RNAcentral describes it as "partial 16S ribosomal RNA". It matches the Rfam family "Bacterial small subunit ribosomal RNA", at positions 797 to 1058 of the family's 1533-position model. The record is from RNAcentral.
ACGCCCUAAACGAUGAUCAUUAGCUGAUGGAGAAUUCAUCGGCGCAGCUAACGCAUUAAAUGAUCCGCCUGAGUAGUACGUUCGCAAGAAUAAAACUUAAAGGAAUUGACGGGGAUCCGCACAAGCGGUGGAGCAUGUGGUUUAAUUUGAAGAUACGCGUAGAACCUUACCCACUCUUGACAUCUUCUGCAAUGCUAUGGAGACAUAGCGGAGGUUAACAGAAUGACAGAUGGUGCAUGGCUGUCGUCAG